CGGCUGGCGGCGUGCCUAAUACAUGCAAGUCGAACGCACUCUCGUUUAGAUUGAAGGAGCUUGCUCCUGAUUGAUAAACAUUUGAGUGAGUGGCGGACGGGUGAGUAACACGUGGGUAACCUGACCCUAAGUGGGGGAUAACAUUUGGAAACAGAUGCUAAUACCGCAAUAAAACCUAACACCGCAUGGUGUAGGGUUGAAAGAUGGUUUCGGCUAUCACUUUAGGAUGGACCCGCGGUGCAUUAGUUAGUUGGUGAGGUAAAGGCUCACCAAGACCGUGAUGCAUAGCCGACCUGAGAGGGUAAUCGGCCACACUGGGACUGAGACACGGCCCAGACUCCUACGGGAGGCAGCAGUAGGGAAUCUUCCACAAUGGACGAAAGUCUGAUGGAGCAACGCCGCGUGAGUGAAGAAGGUUUUCGGAUCGUAAAACUCUGUUGUUGGAGAAGAAUGUAUCUGAUAGUAACUGAUCAGGUAGUGACGGUAUCCAACCAGAAAGCCACGGCUAACUACGUG
Molecule: ribosomal RNA, 516 nt
Filed under: uncultured bacterium
Lineage: Bacteria
Description: bacterial SSU rRNA
Rfam family: Bacterial small subunit ribosomal RNA
Source: RNAcentral